GGCGAGCGGACANGAUGGGAGCUUGCUCCCUGAUGUUAGCGGCGGACGGGUGAGUAACACGUGGGUAACCUGCCUGUAAGACUGGGAUAACUCCGGGAAACCGGGGCUAAUACCGGAUGGUUGUUUGAACCGCAUGGUUCAGACAUAAAAGGUGGCUUCGGCUACCACUUACAGAUGGACCCGCGGCGCAUUAGCUAGUUGGUGAGGUAACGGCUCACCAAGGCAACGAUGCGUAGCCGACCUGAGAGGGUGAUCGGCCACACUGGGACUGAGACACGGCCCAGACUCCUACGGGAGGCAGCAGUAGGGAAUCUUCCGCAAUGGACGAAAGUCUGACGGAGCAACGCCGCGUGAGUGAUGAAGGUUUUCGGAUCGUAAAGCUCUGUUGUUAGGGAAGAACAAGUGCCGUUCAAAUAGGGCGGCACCUUGACGGUACCUAACCAGAAAGCCACGGCUAACUACGUGCCAGCAGCCGCGGUAAUACGUAGGUGGCAAGCGUUGUCCGGAAUUAUUGGGCGUAAAGGGCUCGCAGGCGGUUUCUUAAGUCUGAUGUGAAAGCCCCCGGCUCAACCGGGGAGGGUCAUUGGAAACUGGGGAACUUGAGUGCAGAAGAGGAGAGUGGAAUUCCACGUGUAGCGGUGAAAUGCGUAGAGAUGUGGAGGAACACCAGUGGCGAAGGCGACUCUCUGGUCUGUAACUGACGCUGAGGAGCGAAAGCGUGGGGGAGCGAACAGGAUUAGAUACCCUGGUAGUCCACGCCGUAAACGAUGAGUGCUAAGUGUUAGGGGGUUUCCGCCCCUUAGUGCUGCAGCUAACGCAUUAAGCCACUCCGCCUGGGGAGUACGGUCGCAAGACUGAA
RNAcentral lists this ribosomal RNA (859 nucleotides) under Bacillus atrophaeus. RNAcentral's name for it is "bacterial SSU rRNA". It matches the Rfam family "Bacterial small subunit ribosomal RNA", at positions 61 to 898 of the family's 1533-position model. Lineage: Bacteria; Bacillati; Bacillota; Bacilli; Caryophanales; Bacillaceae. The record is from RNAcentral.